Molecule: ribosomal RNA, 502 nt
Filed under: uncultured eukaryote
Lineage: Eukaryota
Description: partial 18S ribosomal RNA
Rfam family: Eukaryotic small subunit ribosomal RNA
Source: RNAcentral
GAAUGUACUGGGUAACGGUCCAUUUAUAGUCAUCCACAUGAGAACCUUUCUCGGCCUUCACUGGUCGGUUGGGGGAGUCAUGUACUUUACUUUGAAAAAAUCAGAGUGUUUCAGGCAGGCGUUUGCAUGAAUACACAAGCAUGGAAUAAUGGAAUAGGACUAGGGUCCAUUUUAUUGGUUAUUGGACCAUAGUAAUGAUUAAUAGGGACAGUUGGGGGCAUUAGUAUUUAAUUGUCAGAGGUGAAAUUCUUGGAUUUAUUAAAGACUAACUUAUGCGAAAGCAUUUGCCAAGGAUGUUUUCAUUAAUCAAGAACGAAAGUUAGGGGAUCGAAGAUGAUCAGAUACCGUCGUAGUCCUAACCAUAAACAAUACCAACCAAAGAUAAGAGGUUGUAAAAACAAGAAAAAGGGAAUUUCUUUUUUUCUUGAACCAACUCCUUUUGAAUUUUUAGAGGGAAACCAUUGAGUAUUUGGGUUCUGGGGGGGAGUACGGUAGCAAGGCU